RNAcentral lists this long non-coding RNA (214 nucleotides) under Serinus canaria (Common canary). RNAcentral's name for it is "lncRNA (ENSSCAG00000006790.1)". The record is from RNAcentral. Lineage: Eukaryota; Metazoa; Chordata; Aves; Passeriformes; Fringillidae.
CAACCAAGCUUCUCACUAGCACAUCCAAGCCAAGGCCUGAUCCUAUGAUGGAAAACUGGAAAACUCUCCAUCUACACGUGAUUAAACCUCUCCUGGCACAAGAACAGCCUGCUAGUAAAUGCCUGUCACUGGGGAAAGCCAUUCUACAGUCUCUGCCUUGCAAUGUUACCGAAAAUGGUCAAAAUAAUUUAUGUCUUCAAAUGAUCCCGUUUUG